UCCUCCUUGUGGGAGGCUGUCUCGCUAGAGAGUGUAACUAGCGACGAGGGUUGCGCUCGUUGCGGGACUUAACCCAACACCUCACGGCACGAGCUGACGACAGCCAUGCAGCACCUGUGAAGGCUUCCUGAGUUACCCCAAGAUCGUUGCCCUUUCGGGCUCCUACUACCAACAUGUCAAGCCCUGGUAAGGUUCUUCGCUUAGCAUCGAAUUAAACCACACGCUCCACCGCUUGUGCGGGCCCCCGUCAAUUCCUUUGAGUUUCAUCGUUGCCGACGUACUCCCCAGGUGGCAUACUUAAUGCGUUAACUGCAGCACCGGCCCCGAAGGGCCAACACCUAGUAUGCAUCGUUUACAGCGUGGACUAC
Molecule: unclassified non-coding RNA, 368 nt
Filed under: uncultured bacterium
Lineage: Bacteria
Description: contains 16S-23S intergenic spacer region
Source: RNAcentral